Molecule: long non-coding RNA, 962 nt
Organism: Papaver somniferum (opium poppy)
Lineage: Eukaryota; Viridiplantae; Streptophyta; Magnoliopsida; Ranunculales; Papaveraceae
Exons: 3
Source: RefSeq, a predicted model, not a curated record
CGUUUUCUUUUCUGUUUUCUUAUCUUCCUCACCCAACUCUGAAAAUCUCACAGAUCCAACCUCAACUCUCACAAUCAAAGACUAAUCCCAACCUCAUCUCAAAAUCAAAACCCAUGUAUCAUAUCUAAAAGAAAACCCCUCUUUUCUAACCCUAGAUUUAGAGCAAACUCUCAUCUGAUUUUAGCUCGCUCGUUUUCAGUAUGAGAGGGAGAUGAGGAAUCCUGCAUAUGGAAGCAAAUCUCAUCAUCGAAUCAAGUAUGAUUUCAAAAUCUAAUCCAACCGCAUCUUUGAAUCAACACCUAUCUCAGAAUCAGAACCAUAAUCCUUUAGUAUCCCCUAAUUUUUUACCCUAGACCGCGUUAAUUUUUCUCCUGAAAUCAAAGCAAACCCUCAUUUCAUAUUUGAUAGAGAUGAGAGUAGAAGAAAAAGACUUCACCAUGUAAUCUUUUACUUUUUCUUUUUUCUUAUCAUUGCUUGAUUUUGUUUCUGCUCUUAUUUGCUUGAUUUUGUAAAAUUUUUGCAUUAUUUCUUUUUGUUUGAUGUAUUUGAUGGAGCCUUAAAGCACGGGUUUUAUUUGAUUUCAUCUUUAUGGUGUUUUAACUGAUUGUGUAUGGUGUUGUUGGUUGGAUUUGAUGGUGUGGGCUGUUGGUGUUGGUGGUGUGAUUAGUGCAGCAGAUUUUUGUGUUUAGUUGGUGGUGGUGCAUCAUUUGUUAAGGUGUUUGUGAUGAGAAAUAAUUGGAUCUGUUAUGAGAAUGGAUGCUGGUGGUGGUGAUGCAGGUAGAAAUUGGUGGAGAAUUUGACUGAUAUUUGUGGUUAGAGAAGUGAUGGUAAUAAUUUACCUUGCGGUGAGACUCUUUCACGGAGGAAACAAGGACAUAACUACAUGGAAGGAGUAUUGUUGAAUAUUUGGAUAUCAUCUGGGGACAGGGCGCUUGAGUUAUUUUCACUUGUAUAGCUCUUAU